CCACAUGACUCUCGGCAACGGAUAUCUCGGCUCUCGCAUCGAUGAAGAACGUAGCAAAAUGCGAUACCUGGUGUGAAUUGCAGAAUCCCGUGAACCAUCGAGUUUUUGAACGCAAGUUGCGCCCGAGGCCUUUUGGUCGAGGGCACGUCUGCCUGGGCGUCACGC
This 165-nucleotide ribosomal RNA is filed under the name Eragrostis harpachnoides. RNAcentral describes it as "Harpachne harpachnoides 5.8S ribosomal RNA". It matches the Rfam family "5.8S ribosomal RNA". From Rfam's summary of the family: 5.8S ribosomal RNA (5.8S rRNA) is a component of the large subunit of the eukaryotic ribosome. It is transcribed by RNA polymerase I as part of the 45S precursor that also contains 18S and 28S rRNA. The record is from RNAcentral. Lineage: Eukaryota; Viridiplantae; Streptophyta; Magnoliopsida; Poales; Poaceae.